Molecule: long non-coding RNA, 3785 nt
Organism: Ahaetulla prasina
Lineage: Eukaryota; Metazoa; Chordata; Lepidosauria; Squamata; Colubridae
Exons: 5
Source: RefSeq, a predicted model, not a curated record
UUUAUGUUUUUAUAUAGAUUGUGGAGAUGCCAUCAACCAUCUCUACUAUUUCUGAUACCUGUCUUCACCGAAAAGCUAGAUCUAGAACAGAGGUCUCCAACCUUGGCAACUUUGCUGUUGAGGAACUCUGGGAGUUGAAGUCCACAAGUCUUAAAGUUGCCAAGGUUGGAGACCCCUGAUCUAGAAGACAGAGGAGUGGGUAGGAGACUUGUUCACUCAUCUCUUAAUUUUUUCCUGUUGAGAUAUGCAUAGGCCAUAGGAAAAAAAAAUGUGGAGGGAGGUGGGAGAUAAUAGGAAAAAGAGACAAGACUAUUAGUAAAGACAUUUGCUUAGAUUGUUGAGCCGGAACCAAUUGGUUAGGCUAAUUGCUAAUUUCUACUUAGUUUUCUCUGAUGCUGAGUUGUUAAUAGAUAGUUUGUAGAUCAUAGUGUAAGGAGAAUGGUGACUAAAGUGAUGGCCAUCUUCGUCUAGCCACUGCUAAAAACUUUGCUGUCUUAGGGAUGACCUUAACUAGAAGCUGGGUGGGAAGGUGUUGUUAUCCUGCCAAUUCUCAUGGAUUUUUUACCAACUUUUAAUACCAAAGCUAAGUUUGAAGGGUAUCGUUUUAAAGUACUUGUGAUCUUUCUUGCCCAGAAUGGUCUUGGGAGAAAAUGUCCCUCCUAUAUUAUUCACAACUAAAUGAAAGUUUUGAAGUGAGGAGUCAACAGUGUGUUGAUGAUCUCCAACUCUACUUUUCCUUAAGACUAUGCUAUUAUAAAUAAUUUCCCUGUUCCAUUAAAGAGGCAGAGAAAAACCAAGAAUCAGGUUUCUGCUCUGCCAGAUACAUGAUAUUUUAGUUUCAACAUCAGAACCCUCCAAGACAAACAGCCAAUAAGCCAGUCUUCAGUCCACAUUUACUAACAAGCAACUAUAUUUUAUAUUAGUGAAAGAAUGGAUAAUUAUUGUGGUACUAAACACUCAUCAUGACUAAUGUUAAUGAUGGAUGGUAUUGCAUCAUUUUGAAUGCAAUCACUUAGCACUUGAAUUAAUGCACUAUGCUAAUUAUUAAUGCAUUAUGACAGUGGGCCAAUUUACCAUUGCAUUUAAAUUGACUGUGAUGGGCAAAAUGUACAUAGGAUGGGAUUCACAAACAAUUUCAUGUCCAGAUUCUGAUCAGAGUUGUGUCUGCUAACUUACAAAUAACUAACUAGAGUAAAGUCACUACAGUAUAACAUGCAUCUUCCAACAAUGACCUGGGAAAAAGGGAAUGUUAGGAAGACAUGCAGAUAGGAAAAAGGAUAAAACAGGAAGCCAACUUAUUAUGGAGAGAGAUGGUUAAAUAACUAUUGUGAGUUUUAUUGGGUGAGGAAGAUUGCUUGACAGUGAUUGGCUAACAUAGUUUUUGACUGACACAUUGGCAGUGUUUCAGCCACCAGAAGUUUCAGAUUGACAUAAAUAGGUUUUUGUCAAAAAAAUGGAAGUGGUGUAGAAACCAUCAGAGACUAUUUGCAAAUUAUCUUGUUAGUUAAUUAAACAAAUAUACAUGGCCACCUGACUCACACCCGACAACUCCAAGAGGCUUACAACAUGAAAAAUCCACAACAUAAAACCCCUAAACUCCCCAUUAGACAAGUUAAUAACAAAAUAAGUUAAUAAAUUAAGAUUUAAAAUCCCUUUGCUAUGAGGGAUUCAGUGCUACUAUCCCCUUAGCUCAAUUGUUCUUUGAAUAGGGAUUAAUUGUAUGUAGUAGAUUUUUAAGGGCCAACACUAAAUCUACAGUUUUGAACGUAAUUAACAAACUAACACAGAAAUAGGUUGCUUAUUAUUCAGACGGGAUAAAAACAGGAAUUUAGACAGAAUGGAGCACUUUUCUUUGUACCAUUUUUUUUCUUUGAACAUUGGCUAUUUGUUUUACACUGAUAGGGAAAGAGGCUGCAGCAGUUUUUCUAAUUUCUUAGAGAGUUAACAUGGUUAAUAAGUCUUGCGAUAUGCAAGAUGCAACAACAAUGAAGCAAAUGCCAAAGCUUUGAGUUGUGCCCAGUUCCUUGCUGAGGCAGAUUCCAAAAAUGAUGAACCAUAAUUCAAGCAUGCUGAGUCAAACUUCAGCACUAUUCAUCCAAAUGUACUGACUCAAGUGUUAUUGCACAAGUAGUGCCCUUUCAGUGUUCUUGCAACUGUGUGGGAGUCACUUUUCUGUCUAUUGCUGGGAGAAUAUUUCAAAUAAACUGAUCACAUGGGUGAAUGGCUUGCAUGAGCAAUGCCUAUGAUUGGUUGGGUUGGAUUCUUUAGACCUUCUCCCAGUCGCGUAGGGAGAUGAAGAGGACAAAGCAGGGAUCAGAAUACAGUGAAGGGCAGCCAAGGGAUUUCACUGGCAAGUAAGGAGAAGAAAGGCUUCUGAAGCAAGAAAGGAAGGAAUGCACCCAGCAAAGUAAAGAUGAUCCCAGUCUGUGAGUUGACUCCAACAGCAGAGAUAACCAUUCGCCCAGAGCCUUCCAUGACGUGGGUGCCUAAAACAAAACAAAAGUCAGAAGAAUACUAAGUGGAAAUGUUAGGAACCCAAGAAGUAGAUCUUCUGGAUUCAUUACAAGCUGAGCAAUUCUGGAAAAGACCAUUGCAAAAUUGCAUAGAAUUGGAUAUUUCUCCUAUCUAUUCCAAACGGAUUGUGGGAGAAUAUUAAAUCAGGAAGAGGUGCCAUGAUUCCAUCAGCCACAAUAUCUGGGAUUGCAGUUUUGGCAGACUGCAUUAGGAUUUCAAGUUCAUUUCACUCUAGAAGAUAACGCGAGUUAAAACCAUGGAAACCCCUGGCAAGAAUGUGGAAGGAGCAACCUGAGUGGUCUCCUUGAGGCUCAUGAGCUGAAUCGGCACAAGUGAGCGAGGAAGUCUACUCCAGAGUCUGCUCAGCUGAGCAGGGGCACCGAAGUACUCUUGCUGAAUGCCCUGAGAAAGGCCUUGUUCUUUUCCAAAACAUGUCAAGCCUCAAUAAAUGAUUUUGAAAAGAGUUUCCUCCCUGACCAUUUUCUUACGAUGAAGUUAAAACAAAAUAGCCUCUCUGAGACCAGUCAAGCCAGGAAAAAGCAAGGAAGAAAGACAUAAGGCAGCAAAGUCACUUAUACAACUGCUCAGCUGGAACCUAGCCAUUGCUGAAGCAACAUCUCUCACACUAUUCUUCAUACUGGACAGCUCCCCAGCUAAUCUGAACUGCUUUUUCCUUGACCAACUGGACAUUCUUGAUAAAACAAGAGUCGAUGCUUCAGCAGGCUCAAUAGGAAGAGAACGUUACUAAAACACAUUUUACUGAAAUAAUCUAAUUUUUUUGUGCUGUUUAUUCUUGAAUAUAUUCAUGAAUUUAAAUGUUACUAAUAGUCCCCUCAUGCCCAGCCUUUUGCUGGAAUGUAAUAUGGCGGUCUCGCAAGGUAAAAUGUUCAUGUAGAUUUUGUUUGUGUGGCAGUCCAGAUUAUCACAGUUAAUAGGCUGGAGAAACAUUGCCAUAUGAUGCUGCACAGGGGCUGGUGGGUUGUAUUUAGCCCUGGAGUAUGUUUGUCAGAUCUCAACAUAUGCAGUGAGGCUGAUGAAAUAGGAUUGGUGUCUGAAGAAUGAGACCUUCCAUUUGUUGUUGAACUACCACUCCCAGCAUCCCUUAGCAUUAGUCACCUUACCUCAGGCUGCUAAGAAUUGUAAUUCAACAACAUCUGGAAGGCCGAAGCGCCAUCAAUUGUUCAUGCAUGGAGAUGGAUCUGCUUAAUGAUUCUGGAGGGGAAUUUGAAUGACCUGAAUAUGAGUCAGGCAAAAGUUGAUGGCAAAAACUU